This 465-nucleotide ribosomal RNA is filed under the name uncultured Klebsiella sp. Its description in RNAcentral is "bacterial SSU rRNA". It matches the Rfam family "Bacterial small subunit ribosomal RNA", at positions 338 to 795 of the family's 1533-position model. The record is from RNAcentral. Lineage: Bacteria; Pseudomonadati; Pseudomonadota; Gammaproteobacteria; Enterobacterales; Enterobacteriaceae.
CCUACGGGAGGCUGCAGUGGGGAAUAUUGCACAAUGGGCGCAAGCCUGAUGCAGCCAUGCCGCGUGUGUGAAGGAGGCCUUCGGGUUGUAAAGCACUUUCAGCGGGGAGGAAGGCGGUGAGGUUAAUAACCUCAUCGAUUGACGUUACCCGCAGAAGAAGCACCGGCUAACUCCGUGCCAGCAGCCGCGGUAAUACGGAGGGUGCAAGCGUUAAUCGGAAUUACUGGGCGUAAAGCGCACGCAGGCGGUCUGUCAAGUCGGAUGUGAAAUCCCCGGGCUCAACCUGGGAACUGCAUUCGAAACUGGCAGGCUAGAGUCUUGUAGAGGGGGGUAGAAUUCCAGGUGUAGCGGUGAAAUGCGUAGAGAUCUGGAGGAAUACCGGUGGCGAAGGCGGCCCCCUGGACAAAGACUGACGCUCAGGUGCGAAAGCGUGGGGAGCAAACAGGAUUAGAUACCCCAGUAGUC